UACAGAGGUCUCAAGCGUUGUUCGGAUUCAUUGGGCGUAAAGGGUGCGUAGGUUGAUUGGUAAGUUAGUGGUGAAAUACUACAGCGCAACUGUGGAACUGCCAUUAAUACUAUCAAUCUUGAAUGCAGUGGAGGCGGGCGGAAUGUGUCAUGUAGCGGUGAAAUGCUUAGAUAUGACACAGAACACCAAUUGCGAAGGCAGCUUGCUACACUGUGAUUGACACUGAGGCACGAAAGCGUGGGGAUCAAACAGG
Molecule: ribosomal RNA, 253 nt
Filed under: uncultured prokaryote
Description: partial 16S ribosomal RNA
Rfam family: Bacterial small subunit ribosomal RNA
Source: RNAcentral